AAAUGGGCAUGCUUGUGACAAUAGAAGCCAUUUAGAGUCAGGAAGUUACAAGGAAAGAUGAUGUUGCUGGUAAUGAUGAUUGUCCAGUGCAAAUAAAAUUGGUUGUACUUCAUCUCAGCUUGAGCAUGUUAAUUUUCAAUAUCUGAAUGCUAAAUGUAGAUUAUUGAUAAGGUACACACCCUCCUAGUUCACAUUGAAAAACAUCUUGUAGAAUCUCCCAAAAGAUCAUGCCUAAGUGUGAAUGCUUAUGAAGAUCUGUAUGUGAUUGCAUCCGCAAAUUCAUCUCCGGUAAUUUUAAAAUUUGUUUCUGACA
Long non-coding RNA from Papaver somniferum (opium poppy), 313 nucleotides. RefSeq lists it as uncharacterized. NCBI's taxonomy places the organism in Eukaryota, Viridiplantae, Streptophyta, Magnoliopsida, Ranunculales, Papaveraceae. The record is from RefSeq and is a predicted model, not a curated record. The transcript has 3 exons.